Molecule: long non-coding RNA, 236 nt
Organism: Perognathus longimembris pacificus (Pacific pocket mouse)
Lineage: Eukaryota; Metazoa; Chordata; Mammalia; Rodentia; Heteromyidae
Exons: 4
Source: RefSeq, a predicted model, not a curated record
UUCCCUUGAUUUUUUUCAAGAAUUCAGUUACUAGCUCUAGAAAUAUCUCAAAGAUUUAACACUGAUGCUAUUCCACAGUUGUGUUCUCAAAUUAAAUAGCCUUACCAAUUCUGCCAUGAACUAUUUUUAAUAUUUACUUUUGAGAUGGUUCUCAAAUUCAAUAUGGACAGGUAAAUUAAAGUAACCAGAGGCUGGGGAUAUGGCCUAGUGGCAAGAGAGCUUGCCUCCUAUACAUG